This 1787-nucleotide long non-coding RNA is filed under the name Amazona collaria (yellow-billed parrot). RNAcentral describes it as "lncRNA (ENSACOG00000007271.1)". Lineage: Eukaryota; Metazoa; Chordata; Aves; Psittaciformes; Psittacidae. The record is from RNAcentral.
CCCCAAGCAGGGGAGUGCCGGGGCAGGAAAGCUGCCAGAGCUCUGAGCAAACGUGCCUCCGUGGGCUGGGACCCAGAGCUGCGGCUGUCCCUUGGGAGGCGACCCGCAGAGCUGGCCAGCCCCCUCUGCCUCUGCUGACUUUGCAUCCCGGCGGAGCGCCAGGCUCGGUAGCACUGGAGGAUGGUGAAAAGCUGGUUCAGGAAACACUGUGUGGAGCUCAGAAAGAAAUUAACGGGGAAAAAAGCCAGCAAACAGCCUAGGCUAGGAGCUGGAAAACAAUCACCUACAUCACUUUAUAGACACCCAGAUAAGGGCUGGCUGAGCCUUUCCUGGAUGACACAUGCUCAAAGACUCUGAAUACUAGGUCUGGCCAGAAGAGAGGGAGCCAGGGAUGUGGUUGUCCACCAUGCUGUGACAUUGACCCAGUCCGUGACCUUGGGCAUAUUUUUUCCUGAUGUCUGUGUGUCUGUGUGGUUGCUUUGGUGUCCCAUCCUCUUCUCUGGGGCUAAUGUUCUCCAUCCUCAUUCAGCUGACAAGGCAAAGGGGUCACUCCUUCACUGCUCAGUUGGGCUUAGUUUCUGUUCCUUUAUACAGAGGACCUCAUCGUAUUGUCUCAGUAAACACGAACACAGAAGUGUUCUUUAAAAUGCUCUGGCCAUGAUGCAGCCUGUCUGGAUCUGCACAUGAACAUCCAAGCAUGAAGUUUGCUGCUUUAAGCCUCUGAAGGUUGAAGCUUGUGCUGAUUCCUUGAACUGCUCAUCAUCAAAGGGAUGUUUUGCCCAGAGAGAGAGGACCGGUGGUGUUUAUGAAAUGCAAGCGGAACAAUGUUGUUAUUUUUGCUUUCACUCAAUCAGUAAAAAUAAGAGCUCUUUUAUUUUCUAGUGAUGUUACUGUUUCUUUCUUCCUGCCUUUCCUUACACCUUAGCACACCCAGCUGUUGGCAUCUGCGGUGAUCACAACUGCACACCUGGGAAGCCUUGCUCCUCCCUGUCCCUGUGUGAAGGCAGGUUACACCGCAAGGUAAGUUGCUUGUCUCACUUGUGCACAUGCUCCCUGGCGGUGCUGACAGGGGACGGAAGCCAGUGGUGGGUGCCGGGGAAACAGUAGUCCAAAGCUGAUUGAUGGGUUAUUUAAUGCUGUGUUCCUAAAGAGUAAAAUAGACUAAUGGGGAGGGAGUGGGGUGUGUGUGAAGAAGAAAGAGUAAACCUGAGCACAUGCUGGAAAGGGAGAGAGAAAAAUAAACCUUUGCAUAUCUCUAAAAGUCAUCAUAAUUUUAUUUGCUGCCAAAACCACUCCCAUACCUCUGCCACUGCUGUAUGGCAUUUGCAGGGUGCAGAUGCGAAGUGAGGCAUCAGAUAAAACUAACUCUUCUUGGCUGAAGAAGUCAAGAGGGAAAUUCCUCGGAAAUUAAAAACAAAACCCAAAGCAACACCAAACAUAAAUUAAGCAGCGACUGCUGAAGGACUUUGAGUGUGUGGAAGUCUCUAUGACAUCCAGGUUGCUUGCCCAUCCUCAGCACGCUCCUCUGCCUCAGAGCACGGUUUAUUUCUUCCAUUAGAGAAUCACAGAAUGGUUUGAAGGGGCCCUAAAGAUCACCUAGUUCCAACCCUGCGCUGCGGGCAGGGACAGCUCCCACUACACCAAUGAUUUAACGAAAGCAACUACUAUUCACCAUAAUCACCCAGCAUUCACGAAUUCAUCCCAUUAAUAACCUACUUCACAACUAAACAGCCCUAUCGCAGGACAACCUCCCCUACCCACACCGCCAACAAACCCCUCCCGGCCCC